CCUACGGGGGGCAGCAGUGGGGAAUAUUGGACAAUGGGGGCAACCCUGAUCCAGCCAUGCCGCGUGUGUGAAGAAGGCCCUCGGGUUGUAAAGCACUUUCAGUGAGGAAGAACGCCUGGUGGUUAAUACCCAUCAGGAAAGACAUCACUCACAGAAGAAGCACCGGCUAACUCCGUGCCAGCAGCCGCGGUAAUACGGAGGGUGCGAGCGUUAAUCGGAAUUACUGGGCGUAAAGCGCGCGUAGGUGACUUGAUAAGCCGGUUGUGAAAGCCCCGGGCUCAACCUGGGAACGGCAUCCGGAACUGUCAAGCUAGAGUGCAGGAGAGGAAGGUAGAAUUCCCGGUGUAGCGGUGAAAUGCGUAGAGAUCGGGAGGAAUACCAGUGGCGAAGGCGGCCUUCUGGACUGACACUGACACUGAGGUGCGAAAGCGUGGGUAGCAAACAGGAUUAGAUACCCCAGUAGUC
RNAcentral lists this ribosomal RNA (465 nucleotides) under Vreelandella stevensii. RNAcentral describes it as "partial 16S ribosomal RNA". It matches the Rfam family "Bacterial small subunit ribosomal RNA", at positions 338 to 795 of the family's 1533-position model. Lineage: Bacteria; Pseudomonadati; Pseudomonadota; Gammaproteobacteria; Oceanospirillales; Halomonadaceae. The record is from RNAcentral.